AUAUCAAUAAGCGGAGGAAAAGAAACCAACUGGGAUUGCCCUAGUAACGGCGAGUGAAGCGGCAAUAGCUCAAAUUUGAAAUCUGGCUCUCUUUGGGGGUCCGAGUUGUAAUCUGCAGAGGGUGCUUUGGCGUUGACGGCGGUCUAAGUUCCUUGGAACAGGACAUCGCAGAGGGUGAGAAUCCCGUUUGUGGUCGCCAGUCUUCACCGUGUAAAGCCCCUUCGACGAGUCGAGUUGUUUGGAAUGCAGCUCUAAAUGGGAGGUAAAUUUCUUCUAAAGCUAAAUACCGGCCAGAGACCGAUAGCGCACAAGUAGAGUGAUCGAAAGAUGAAAAGCACUUUGGAAAGAGAGUCAAAUAGCAC
RNAcentral lists this ribosomal RNA (362 nucleotides) under uncultured fungus. RNAcentral's name for it is "eukaryotic LSU rRNA". It matches the Rfam family "Eukaryotic large subunit ribosomal RNA", at positions 40 to 398 of the family's 3401-position model. The record is from RNAcentral. Lineage: Eukaryota; Fungi.